Molecule: non-coding RNA, 73 nt
Organism: Ixodes scapularis (black-legged tick)
Lineage: Eukaryota; Metazoa; Arthropoda; Arachnida; Ixodida; Ixodidae
Source: Rfam
CCCUGGUUAGGUCAGUUAUUAGAGCGCUCUACUAGGAAUGGAGAGGUCCGGGGUUCGAUACCUGGACCAGGCG